RNAcentral lists this ribosomal RNA (369 nucleotides) under uncultured bacterium. RNAcentral's name for it is "bacterial SSU rRNA". It matches the Rfam family "Bacterial small subunit ribosomal RNA", at positions 29 to 423 of the family's 1533-position model. The record is from RNAcentral.
AACGAACGCUGGCGGCAGGCCUAACACAUGCAAGUCGAGCGCGCCUUCGGGUGAGCGGCGGACGGGUUAGUAACGCGUGGGAAUAUGCCCGGUACUAGGGAAUAGCCACUGGAAACGGUGAGUAAUACCUUAGUACGCCCUUCGGGGAAAGAUUUAUCGGUAUCGGAUUAGCCCGCGUUAGAUUAGGGUAGUUAGGUGGGGGUAAUGGGCCUACCAAGCCUACGAUCUAUAGCUGGUUUUAGAGGAUGAUCAGCAACACUGGGACUGAGACACGGCCCAGACUCCUACGGGAGGCAGCAGUGGGGAAUCUUGGACAAUGGGCGCAAGCCUGAUCCAGCCAUGCCGCGUGAGUGAUGAAGGCCUUAGGGG